This 253-nucleotide ribosomal RNA is filed under the name uncultured bacterium. RNAcentral's name for it is "partial 16S ribosomal RNA". It matches the Rfam family "Bacterial small subunit ribosomal RNA", at positions 524 to 776 of the family's 1533-position model. The record is from RNAcentral.
UACGUAGGGGGCAAGCGUUGUCCGGAUUUAUUGGGCGUAAAGAGCGUGUAGGCGGCCAGACAGGUCCGUUGUGAAAACUCGAGGCUCAACCUCGAGACGCCGAUGGAAACCGUCUGGCUAGAGUCCGGAAGAGGAGAGUGGAAUUCCUGGUGUAGCGGUGAAAUGCGCAGAUAUCAGGAAGAACACCGAUGGCGAAGGCAGCUCUCUGGGACGGUACUGACGCUGAGACGCGAAAGCGUGGGGAGCGAACAGG